AUGGCUGUGUACCUACUGUCCCAACUUUCUGGCACUCAGUCCCCACACUCCACUGGCCCACUACCACCCACCCUGGCACACACACAAACGCGCUCCCUCUCUAACCGCCUUUCGUUUCGUCUGAAAGCCCCUGCAGCCAUUGCCAUAGGACUGGGUGAAUCAUCAUUUAAGUGCCUCAACCACUGGGAGAGCAAUGAAAAGAAAGCAGAGGACAACAGCUGGAGAGCAUGGGAGAUCGCUGGUCAUUUUGUGAGAAAUCAUGGGAAGGAUGGUCUUACAGAUGAGAUAUAACAGCUGCCUUCACUGACAGUCUUCAGAAGUCCAAAGUCGGCAUCCAUUAAACUCUAGCUUCCCCAUCACUUUAUCUUUGGGGCCAUCUCCACCAAGCAGAUGUUGAAGAUUCUCUGGUACAGUGGCCUAUCUUCUGAGCAUAGAAACAGGACAUGUGGUCCGGCAAUGUGUUUCCUUUUCUUUCUGAUUUAUUCCAAGACAGGCCUGAGGAUUUCAAUCCCUGCUCUGACGUCAAUCUGCUGGGUGACCUUGGGCUAAAAUCUGAGUGUCUGUAAAUGGCAAUAGUUAUAAUAUCUGUGUAUAUCAUAUAUCAUAUAGUAUCUACAUAUAUCAUAAUUAUACUGUUAUGAAAACUAAAUAUGAUAUGGUGAAAGUGCUGAGCACAGUGUCUGAUAAACAAACAUACUCAAUUCAUGGUAGCUAUUAUUACUUAUGGUAAUGAUUAACACGUUACAAAAACAUCAGCAUGAAACCACAUUUAGUUCCAAACUUCAGGAAUCACCUUUUGAGAAAAGAAAGAAGAUACAUGAAAUUUGGACUGCUCCAGAAAAUCCUGGAUGUCUUAUCACCAUACCUAAAGGUACUUCUUCCCCUUCAGUUUAAUAAGGCAUCUUAGAAGAAGAGAUGGAAAUAAGACAAAAAUAGGAGGCAAAAGCAACCUUCUCACUGACCCCGUAAUUCCUUAUAGCUGCUGCUAAGCUAUUUAGAGCUCUGUGGAUCUGACUUCUGCUUCCAGCCUCAUCCUUUCUACUCUCUGAAUGUUCCACCUUGAAAUUACAGAAAUAUUUCCAUGAACUAUUUGCCUUCAUGAUCUUACCUAAUACAUCACUGAGAUCUCAAAAUUAUUGCUUAACCGGAACCCUCUGAAAUGAAGAGCAGUCAGUUAUUCUAAUGAAUAUUGUUCAAAAGAAAAACUACCAUGUUACACUUCCAAGCAGUUUUCCCCUGUCUUUUAUCGUCAUUCCUACCCGGGAGGAGGGCGGUGUAAGGGUAUCACUGC
This 1291-nucleotide long non-coding RNA is filed under the name Bos indicus x Bos taurus (hybrid cattle). RNAcentral's name for it is "lncRNA (ENSBIXG00000029093.1)". Lineage: Eukaryota; Metazoa; Chordata; Mammalia; Artiodactyla; Bovidae. The record is from RNAcentral.